CUUGACAAAUGCCAUUCUGGUAUCUAGGGAAGCUUGUGGAACAGCUCAGGAGUUCUGGUCAACAGGAGUGGUGCAUUCGUGGGAAGCUGGGAAGAGAUAAAGCGAUCCCAAAACAAGCCCUCUGCAACUCUGGCUUCAUACGACAUCCAACUGCAGAGGUUCCCAAGGUGCCCAAGGACGAGGGUUGUCCUCUCUCCUUCUAAGAACUUACUGUAGUUCUUCUUAACUCUGUUCCUCUAUAUCUAUCACCUAUCUAUCUAUCUAUCUAUCUAUCUAUCUAUCUAUCUAUCUAUCUAUCUAGUUGUGUGUGUGUGUGUGUGUGUGUGUGUGUGCAUUUGUCAAAACAUGGUCUAGCUGCGUGUCCCAGGAUCCUCCUGCUUGAGGCUCAUCAGUGUUGGUGUGUGAGAUGUGCACUGCCACACCCAGCUCAAUAUUUAUUUUUAACUAUGCUUAUGUUAGUAAGAACAUAGAUUAUUUACAAUACUUUCUUAGAUAUAGUCAGAUGAGUUAUGACAGCUCUAUCUGUCUGUCUAUCUUCUAUGUAUGUAUGUAUGUAUGUAUGUAUGUAUCUAUCUAUCUAUCUAUCUAUCUAUCUAUCUAUCUAUCUAUGUAUCCUAUGUAUCUAUCUGUCUGUCUGUCUAUCUAUCUAUCUAUCUAUCUAUCUAUCUAUCUAUCUAUCUAUCUAUGUAUCCUAUGUAUCUAUCUGUCUGUCUGUCUGUCUAUCUAUCUAUCUAUCUAUCUA
RNAcentral lists this long non-coding RNA (742 nucleotides) under Rattus norvegicus (Norway rat). RNAcentral describes it as "long non-coding RNA NONRATT009091". The record is from RNAcentral. Lineage: Eukaryota; Metazoa; Chordata; Mammalia; Rodentia; Muridae.